RNAcentral lists this ribosomal RNA (468 nucleotides) under uncultured bacterium. Its description in RNAcentral is "partial 16S ribosomal RNA". It matches the Rfam family "Bacterial small subunit ribosomal RNA", at positions 28 to 507 of the family's 1533-position model. The record is from RNAcentral.
GACGAACGCUGGCGGCGUGCUUAACACAUGCAAGUCGAACGGAAAGGCCCUGCUUUUGUGGGGUGCUCGAGUGGCGAACGGGUGAGUAACACGUGAGUAACCUGCCCUUGACUUUGGGAUAACUUCAGGAAACUGGGGCUAAUACCGGAUAGGAGCUCCUGCUGCAUGGUGGGGGUUGGAAAGUUUCGGCGGUUGGGGAUGGACUCGCGGCUUAUCAGCUUGUUGGUGGGGUAGUGGCUUACCAAGGCUUUGACGGGUAGCCGGCCUGAGAGGGUGACCGGCCACAUUGGGACUGAGAUACGGCCCAGACUCCUACGGGAGGCAGCAGUGGGGAAUAGUGCACAAUGGUCGGAAGCCUGAUGCAGCAACGCCGCGUGCGGGAUGACGGCCUUCGGGUUGUAAACCGCUUUCGCCUGUGACGAAGCGUGAGUGACGGUAAUGGGUAAAGAAGCACCGGCUAACUACGUG